AGCAAACUUGUUAAAAAGACUAACUUACCCUUUUUAAAAUUUAACCCACCCUCAACAAUUACCCACCCUCACCCACACCCUCACCCUCACCCUCACCCUCACGGCAAACAAAGAAAACGCCAUUGACGAUCAAAAUUCGAAGCUCCAAUUCCAGCAGCAAUAAUCGCGAGACGACAGUGGUGCCGCGCCGACCCACGCAGACGACCCACCCUCCUCUUCGUGCGACGCAACGACCACCAUCAUCCAUCACCUAAGAUGUCAAGUACUAGAGAAAGAGGUUGUAUUAGCCAGAAAGAUGGAAAUAAAGGAAAAGGAAAGAGGCAAUUACUUGACACUGAAGCACCAUCGGAGAAAAAUUAUAGUGGUCGACUUGGAAAAAAAAAUGACAGAACUCGAAAAGGUGUUACAAUGUCUGCGAGAGCUAGGGCUGUGAAAGCUAGAGAAGAAGUUUUAGCCCCUACUAGUAAAAAUGAUCGAGAGAAAACUCAUAUGGAGGACUUUACUAUCCCCAACUAUGUU
This is a long non-coding RNA of Beta vulgaris subsp. vulgaris (sugar beet), 519 nucleotides long. RefSeq lists it as uncharacterized. NCBI's taxonomy places the organism in Eukaryota, Viridiplantae, Streptophyta, Magnoliopsida, Caryophyllales, Amaranthaceae. The record is from RefSeq and is a predicted model, not a curated record. The transcript is spliced from 3 exons.